This 3805-nucleotide unclassified non-coding RNA is filed under the name Hevea brasiliensis (rubber tree). Lineage: Eukaryota; Viridiplantae; Streptophyta; Magnoliopsida; Malpighiales; Euphorbiaceae. The record is from RNAcentral.
UUCUUUUGGAUCUCAAGCCCAAAAUCCAAUAAAUCUCCUCUUCUCAGCAGCCUUGCACUUUUCUCUUCCACUCCAUAUUCGCGCCAUCGUUCGGACAAGCCUUAAGCCAUUCCGAUCCCGAUCUCGAUUUCCCAUUUUUACCGGAUAUCUCCAUGGCUGCCUCUGAAGAAAAUAGUGCUUUGUUCCCAAUUUUCAUUUUGACAAUAAUGGCACUGCCUUUAGUGCCUUACACAAUAAUGAAGUUAUGCCGCGCUGCCUCAAAAAAAAGUAAGAGCAUCAACUGCCGGUGCUCUGAAUGCUUCCGAUCAGGGAAGUAUCACAAAUCAAUAUUUAAGCGGAUUUCAAACUUCUCCACGUGUAGUAACUUGACAUUGAUUCUUCUUUGGAUCAUCAUGAUAUUCCUGGUGUAUUACAUAAAAAAUAUGAGUCGUGAGAUUCAAGUUUUUGAUCCUUAUUCUAUACUUGAAUUGGAACCUGGAGCUUCAGAGUCGGAAAUAAAAAAGCGUUACAGGAGACUGUCUAUUCUGUACCAUCCUGAUAAAAAUCCAGAUCCAGAGGCCCACAAAUAUUUUGUGGAGUCAAUAACAAAGGCUUACCAGGCUCUAACAGAUCCGAUAUCCCGUGAGAAUUAUGAAAAAUAUGGCCAUCCAGAUGGUAGACAGGGGUUUCAAAUGGGCAUAGCACUUCCCCAGUUUCUGCUAGACAUUGAUGGGGCAUCUGGUGGAAUACUUCUACUUUGGAUAGUUGGUGUUUGCAUUCUAUUACCAUUGGUAGUCGCUGUGAUAUAUCUUUCAAGAUCAUCAAAAUACACAGGAAAUUAUGUCAUGCAUCAAACUUUGUCUGCAUACUAUUACUUAAUGAAACCUUCUUUGGCCCCAAGGUGAUUAUUUUAUUCCCAUUAUCUAGUAAUUUCUUAUGUUGUUCAUAACAUCAGUGGAUACACCAUCAUGUCAUCCCUCCCUCUUAAAUGUUUGCUAUCUAGGUUAGAACAGCAUUUAGUGCUCUUGAUAUUAGUGCUUCGAGUUGGUCACAAUCUUGAGAUUGCUCAAUUGAUUUUUUAUUUCACAAAAGUAAGAGUGUAGAACAGAAACUAUUGUUUUAUUGUGGCCACUUGACCAAUGAUGCUUUAUAAAGUAUGGGUUUACAUCAGAGUUUAUCCAACUCUGACUUUUAAGGUCUCCCCUUAAGUUUGAAAUCCCUUGUUUCAUGUUUUGUGUGCAAGUUUAUGCAUGUGCACUUGACAUUUUUUUUUUAAUUUCAUUAGGAUUAUCCUGGGAUCUUUUCUUUAUGAAUGUACUAUGUUUUGUUUAUUUCCCAUUUUUUGGAGAAUGAAGCACUGGGCCCUUAUUCAUGAAAAUCCAAGGGGAGAGGACUCUUGUCUAUUGUGUGUGUUUGUGUGGUGAUAUAUUUGUGAUGCCCAUCUUUAAAGAAUGUACUUAAUGAGGUUUAAUAUUCAUGCAUUGUUUUCUUUGCCAACGUCAUCUCUCUCGAAGUCAAUAUGAGUGACCUUUUAUAUGAUUGCUGUGUGAAUUUGUGUACCUUGAUUUUACAGCAAAGUUAUGGAAGUCUUCACUAAGGCUGCUGAAUAUAUGGAAAUUCCAGUUCGUAGGACUGAUGAUGAACCUCUUCAGAAGCUGUUCAUGUCAGUUAGAAGUGAGCUGAAUCUGGACCUCAAGAACAUUAAGCAAGAACAGGCUAAGUUUUGGAAGCAACAUCCUGCUGUGGUUAAGACAGAGUUGUUAAUUCAGGCUCAAUUAACUCGUGAAUCAGCAGCCUUAUCACCGGCUUUGCUAGGUGAUUUCAGACGUGUGCUAGAACUUGCACCUCGCCUUCUUGAAGAAUUAAUGAAGAUGGCUGUCAUACCACGCACUGCACAGGGUCAUGGAUGGUUGCGACCUGCAAUUGGGGUUGUUGAGCUCUCUCAAUGUAUUAUUCAGGCUGUUCCUCUUAGUGCAAGAAAAACUACUGGAGGUUCUGCAGAAGGGAUUGCACCCUUUUUGCAGCUGCCCCAUUUCAGUGAGUCUGUUGUCAAGAAGAUAGCUCGGAAGGUAAUUUGAUAAAAUCUUAUGUUGGAGCAUGUGAUGCAUGAACUUAGGUUUUAACAUGCCUCUUGCUAGCAUUAGAUGGGCAAGCCACUUUUCUCUCUCUCCUGUUUUUCUUCUUGUCCAUGAAGCUCCUUGAAAAAGUUCACUUACACAGAAUGAGAAGAUUCUAUGCUGUGUUUGUCAAUUUGUUGUUAAAUGUCUGGUAGAAGUACAAAUUCUGAGUUAUUUUUUUUUUAAGAAACAUGAGGGAAUUCAGCAUUUGAAGCAUUUGGAUAAUUUGAACAUGAAUUUAAUAUAUUUGGUUUAUGCUUAUGGUCCUUCCAAUGUUACUAUUAAAGAGUUUUUGUUGCUGAAUGCAGAAAGUGAGAUCUUUUCAGGAUUUUUGUGAUAUGGCUCGUCAAGAUCGUGCUGACCUCCUAGAGCAGGUUGCUGGAUUCUCCUUACCUGAAGUACAAGAUAUUGAGAUGGUACUGGAAAUGAUGCCUUCUGUAACCAUUGAAGUUAGAUGUGAGACUGAAGGUGAAGAAGGUAUACAGGAGGGUGACAUUGUCACCGUUCAAGCUUGGGUAACCAUCAAACGUGCUAAUGGCUUGGUUGGUGCACUCCACCAUGCUCCCUACUUCCCAUUUCACAAGGAAGAGAACUUCUGGUUUCUGCUUGCAGAUCCCAUCUCAAAUAAUGUGUGGUUUUCCCAGAAGGUAAAUUUCAUGGAUGAAGCUGCAGCUAUAACUACUGCUUCUAAGGCAAUUGAGGAGACUAUGGAGGGGUCUGGAGCAAGUGUUAAGGAGACAAGUACAGCAGUCAGAGAAGCAGUUGAGAAGGUACGAGGUGGCUCCAGACUGGUGAUGGGCAAGUUCCCAGCACCUGCUGAGGGGAGCUACAACUUGACUUGUUACUGCUUAUGUGACUCUUGGAUAGGUUGUGACAAAAGGACCAACUUGAAGGUUAAAAUUCUGAAACGAACACGGGCUGGCACUCGGGGUGGUUCUGUCUCUGAAGAGGGGCCCAUUGCAGAGGAUGGGCUUGAAGAGGAAGAGGAGAAUGAAGAAGAGGAAUAUGAUGACUAUGAAAGCGAGUAUAGUGAAGAUGGGGAAGAUGAAAAAGAUACAAAAAAGAAGGGCCCUGCUGCAAAUGGCACUGUGCAUAAAGGAGGCUCCAGCUCAGAAGGUUCAGGCACAGAAGAGGAAUGAAACACUAUUUUAUUUAUCCAUGGAAAACAAUAAGCUUUUAAUUUAUUCGGUGGAUGAACUUAACGAUCAUCUCAGUGAUACUGAUUUACUCUCCUCCCUCGUUGGUCAGUAGUUUCAAUAUUUUCGAUGCCAUGACUGGGUUCUCUACUAAUUUUACCCCGUCUGUUUUCAGUUGAGAUAUUUUACCAUGCUAUUUUGUUCUUUAACGAGUAGCUGCCGUCGCCACCACCACCUCCUUUUUCUAUCGCUUUCUUUGGGUGAGCAUGGUUUCAUCGGUAAAUAUUAUUGCAUUCCGCUUAAGUCACCUCAGCAGGGUACUCAUUCUUUUUCCACCGUUAGUAACUUCAGCCUUGACUCGAAUUAUCGAAUUUUAGUUGGAAAAUUUUCAAUGGUAAAAUGAAUAGCUCUGAAACAGUGUCCGAACAGAGAUCACGGAGAAGAUACCGAGUGAAUCCAACACGACGAGACAUGCCUGCAAUGCAAAUAAAGCACGCUCUCAUCUCUUUUGCUCAAUGAUUUGUCAUUGUGAGAUGUUUAAAAAUUUUUCAUUACAAUAAAUGACAGAAGUAG